GCCACGGUUUGCUACUCUGCUUUUUGGGCUCACAGGUGGGUUUAAUUCCUUGCUGAGUACACCUGGAGAGGUAGCAGGCUUGUUAUCACUGUCUGUCAGUCCCACCUAGUAGAAGGGUUCUCCUGCUAGAGAAUACUGAGCUGGUUGUAGUUACAGUGAAAUAUCAGGUGAGAUUCAAGGCAUAGGACAAGAUGAACAUACUCCAAAAAUAAAAGCAGACUUUGACUCAUGUUGUCUAGCAAGUCUCCGUAUAGUAAGCUAAAGGACUUCAGUGGUGUUUGUUUCCUUUCCACAAAGAAGACAACAGCUCUGGAUUCUGAUAAAACGAAGCUUGGCAGAGUCCCAAGCAAGUUCUGGGACUACACUCAGCUUGAGCAUCUCAUUUAUCUCACAGGUAUUCAGUGAUUUUUCACAUGCUAGGCUGGCCAGCACUGAUAAUUCUAAGAGUUGGGUUUUCUAACGGGGGUUAUGCCUGUAUUUGGAUACCACUAUUACAUAUUUUUUAAGAGGUCUUUGGGCAAACAUAAGAUCAUUUUACCUGUGCUCCAAGCCAACAGGAGCUUAUGUUGGUCUGCUAUUGUAGGAGAAGAUUUUAUUAGCUCAGGUUGGUGCCAUCUUAACUGUGGCUACAAGGUUUAUCUUGGUGUGAUGUACAGAGCAGAUUAACUCACCUGCUGCAUAGACAUACCCUUAAAUGUACAAAGCCAGAUCCUUGAUUAUCAUCGAGUCACUUUGUGAGGAAGUGACGAUGGAUAAUCUCCACCUUCGUCUUGUUCCCUCUCCAACCUGGCGAGCUGUCAGUCCUCAAAUGGCAGCGCCUCCUGGAAAGAGAUCUUCCCCAUCAGUUAGAGGACAGCCUUGGCCUGAGGUGCUCUUGAAUGCAGCCCAACGCUCUCAAAUACAGGAGGUCAUGGAGGCACUGUAUUGCCCCAUAGGUCUCCUGGAUCAUGACAACACCCAAUACCCCCUUCCAGAACAGGGAAGAAAAGCUGUGGACUGCUGUUGGGUAAGCAGGGUGUUUCAGUGCUAUUUUUCAUGUAAGAUUCCUG
RNAcentral lists this long non-coding RNA (1049 nucleotides) under Anser brachyrhynchus (Pink-footed goose). Its description in RNAcentral is "lncRNA (ENSABRG00000018418.1)". Lineage: Eukaryota; Metazoa; Chordata; Aves; Anseriformes; Anatidae. The record is from RNAcentral.